Long non-coding RNA from Lynx canadensis (Canada lynx), 272 nucleotides. RefSeq lists it as uncharacterized. NCBI's taxonomy places the organism in Eukaryota, Metazoa, Chordata, Mammalia, Carnivora, Felidae. The transcript has 3 exons. The record is from RefSeq and is a predicted model, not a curated record.
AAUCAAUCAGAGCAUUAAGUGGAUCUCCAGAAGUUUCACAGCAAUUUAGAAAUGAAACCAAGAUUUAAUACCAGCCUGCUUAAAAAGGUGCCAUGUCGAUGAUGCACGCCGCGCAACAGAUGGGAAAAAUCCUCAUGCAACUUAACAACAUGCUCACGUUUUCCUGUAGUUCUGCCAAAACACAACUUUGUGAGAGCUCCCUCCGUUACCGCCAAGGCAGCCAGGUAAUGAAGGAGUCAGAAAGUGGACAGAAGCUGCCGGCAAGUUGUUCC